Molecule: non-coding RNA, 698 nt
Organism: Kogia breviceps (pygmy sperm whale)
Lineage: Eukaryota; Metazoa; Chordata; Mammalia; Artiodactyla; Physeteridae
Source: RefSeq, a predicted model, not a curated record
AUCCAGAGAGCUGAAAUCCCUUGAAUAAGGUCACAAGGCCAGGAGCUGGCAGGGCUGGGAUUUGAACCUGGCCAUCCGGCUCCAGUCACAGAUGGGUGCUGGAAGCUGAGCCAACACUGGGCCACCAGGCAAGUUGCAGACAGCUGUGGUGGGGUGUGAAGAGGAGGCAUGUUCUGCUUUUAUCAGCCAGACAGACGGCCCACGUAUGAACUGGAGGUGGUGGUGGGCUUCAUCUCUGACCCGGGCACAACUGACCUCAGCAAAGGUCUGGUACCAAGGUCAUUUCAGAACAUUGAGUAGAGUUCCACGUGCUAUACAGUAGGUCCUUAUUAGUUAUCUGUUUUACAUGUAGUAGUGUGUAUAUGUCAACUCCAAUCUUCCAAUUUUUCUCUCCCCUCCCUUUCCCCUUUGGUAACCAUAAGUUUGUUUUCUACAUCUGUGACUCUAUUUCUGUUUUGUAAAUAAGUUCAUUUGUACCAUUUUUUAAGAUUCCAUAUGUAAGUGAUAUCAUAUGAUCUUUGUCUUUGUCUGACUUCUUUCACUCAGUAUGACAGUCUCUAGGUCCAUCCAUGUUGCUGCAAAUGGCACUAUUUCAUUUUUCAUGGCCGAGUAAUAUUCCAUUGUAUACAUGUACCACAUCUUCUUUAUCCAUUCCUCUGUCGAUGGGCAUUUAGGUUGCUUCGUCCUGGCUAUUGUAA